RNAcentral lists this ribosomal RNA (503 nucleotides) under uncultured bacterium. RNAcentral's name for it is "partial 16S ribosomal RNA". It matches the Rfam family "Bacterial small subunit ribosomal RNA", at positions 30 to 523 of the family's 1533-position model. The record is from RNAcentral.
AUUGAACGCUGGCGGCAGGCUUAACACAUGCAAGUCGAGCGGGGUGAUGGUGCUUGCACUAUCACUUAGCGGCGGACGGGUGAGUAAUGCUUAGGAAUCUGCCUAUUAGUGGGGGACAACGUCUCGAAAGGGAUGCUAAUACCGCAUACGUCCUACGGGAGAAAGCAGGGGAUCACUUGUGACCUUGCGCUAAUAGAUGAGCCUAAGUCGGAUUAGCUAGUUUGUGGGGUAAAGGCCUACCAAGGCGACGAUCUGUAGCGGGUCUGAGAGGAUGAUCCGCCACACUGGGACUGAGACACGGCCCAGACUCCUACGGGAGGCAGCAGUGGGGAAUAUUGGACAAUGGGGGGAACCCUGAUCCAGCCAUGCCGCGUGUGUGAAGAAGGCCUUAUGGUUGUAAAGCACUUUAAGCGAGGAGGAGGCUCUUUUGGUUAAUACCCAAGAUGAGUGGACGUUACUCGCAGAAUAAGCACCGGCUAACUCUGUGCCAGCCGCCGCAGUAA